UGUUGCUUCGGCAGUAUAUAUGCUAAAAUUGGAACAAUACAGGGAAGAUUAGCAUGGCUCUUGCGCAAGGAUGACAUGCACAUUUGUGAAGCGUUCCAUAUUUUU
Jaculus jaculus (lesser Egyptian jerboa) is the source of this 105-nucleotide small nuclear RNA. Lineage: Eukaryota; Metazoa; Chordata; Mammalia; Rodentia; Dipodidae. The record is from RefSeq and is a predicted model, not a curated record.